AGUGUUGAUUUGACAUUACGAGAAGUUAAACGUGUUGGUAAACGAGCGGUCGCAAUUUUUUUAGAGAAAUACACGAUAAAAAUAAAUUUUAUAAUUUUUUUUUAAUAACAAGAAUUUUAAAGUGUUAACGAGAGACAAUUAGAAAUAACAAAAACAAUUUCUAACGAUAUUAAAUAAUAAUUUGGAACGAAAUUAAUUAUUAGAAUCUGAGAAAAGUUUAAAAUAUAUUUUGUACGACAAAUAAGAAAAAAAAAAAGAAAAUUUAUUACGAACUGUUGCGCACACACCUUUUCAUAUAAAGCUGCAAUAUAUAUAAAGGCAAAUAAUAAAAAAAAAAACAAACCGAAAAGUAAAUACGAUAAAAAUAUAUUGAAGAAAAAAAAAAAGACAAGUCGCGCAAAGUGUACGUAUAGAAAAUAAAUGAAAUAAAAUUAUAAAAAUAAAAGCAAGAUAAGAAAAAACACAAUAAGCAAAGAAAACAAGCAACAAAAUUUAGUGAAUGAGCUCACACAUCAAGAAAAAAAAAGUGGCAAAAAAAGCAAAACAAAACAACAAAAAUGCAAUAGCUUAACAAAAAAAGGAAUAAAAACGCCCGAAUUCAACACUAAUAAAAUAAAUUUUAUAAAGUAUUUAAUUAAAAUUUAAGGUGUUUUUUUUUUAAUUUUACUUUUUGUCAACACAAUUUGCUUUGUUUAAAGAAAGAAAAACAAAUAAAAGCAAAAUUUAAAAACGAGUGCAAAGGAGUGAGUAGAAAAAAAGUAAAUGAGUGUGUUUACUUAAAGAAAAAAGUGCAUUACUGUUAAAAAGAAGAAGAAUUUGACAACAAUCACACUCAACUACACACGGCAAAAAAAUAAUACGAGUCAUCAAUUAAAAUUUGUGUUUUCUUAAGUUUUUUUUGUGUUAAAUUAAUAUAUUUUCUAUAGUUUUCUUUAAAUUAAUAACAACUUUUCUCUACAACAACAAAACAGUGCAAUAUAUGUAAAAGAAGAACAAAUAAUUUGUUAAAAAAAGAAAUUACAAUAAAAAUUUUCUUUUAACCACCACAUACCGCCCAGUGUUUCUUUAUUUUACAAAAUUAUUUUUCUUUGAUUCUACAAAAAGAUAACAAAAUUAUUAUUAAAAAUAUUUCUCUAAAAAGAAAUUAUAUUUUCUAAAAAUAUAAAUAAAAUAUAUUACGAAUUAAAGUGCAUUUUAAGGUGAAAUUUAUUUAAAUAUAAAAUCUGCAUUAUAUUUAAAAUAUUUUCUUUGGAAAAAAAGCAAGAAAAAAAUUUAACAAAAAUUAACGUGUUUUGGUUUAAAAUUCAGUUUUUAAAUUAAUUUUACCAACAACUGUUCUACAAUUUAUGCUUAAAUGGAUGCAACAUCUAUAAUAACACAAGUCGCCCGCGAUGAUGAACAAUUAAAUGUUUAUCCCAAUGAAAAAGGUAUGUGUUAAAUUUUUUAAAGUCGCAAUAUGUUUUUGCUUUUGUCAUCUUAUUAAUUUAUUCUGGAUUUAAUGGGGAUAUUUUUAUUUUGGAAUUUGAAAAAAGGUAAGUCAUUAUUAAUUAAUUAGAGCUGGUUACAAAAAAUACAAAAAUGCGGUAAUAAUGAUUUAAUGAAAGCAACAUUGUUGCUUAAAAAAACAAGUCAAAGUUAUUUAAGGUAUUUUUAAUGAUAAUAAAUUGUUAAAAAAAAAAAAGUUGUUAAAUACUCACAAAACAGCAUUUGAAAUGUUUUAUGUUUAUUGAUCUCUCUAUAUUACUCUUUCUCAGCUAUUCAACUAAUGAUGUUGCCAUAUUACAUUUUCUAUUAAACUGUCAACAGUUUUCACACCUUAUCCUUUUUACAGCAUACUUUAUUGUGCUACCAUACUGCUUUGCUUACUAGCGGUAUUUAAGUGUUACCACUUGUUAUUUUUUUACUGCUUUUUUUUAUAAAAUUGUUAUAUAUCCCCUUUAAACUUGUAGUUUUUAUUACUGACAUAACUUUCCUUUCUAUUUUUAACCAAAUUUUAUUAUGUAAAAAUUUGUUUUCUUUUUUCACAUGUUUUUUAUAGUUUUGUUUUACUUUAUUAUAAUUUAUGUCAUUAAAAACAUGAUUUUCAUUUUGCAAAGUUAUUUCUGUUGGUUUGUAGUUUACCAUUUCAUGUUCCCAUUUCUAACCAUGACCUUUUCCAUUUAUCUUUAUAUUGUACUUGGGAAGGGAUAUAUUACACACAUAUACUUUGUUAAUUUCUGUUACAAAUAUAGAAAAAAAAACUAUAAAUUUAUAGUUUUUUUAUGACAACAUUGUUUUCAACAAUUCCUUGAUUUUAUGAUUAUUAUUAAAACUGUAUACUGACAGACUUCCUUAAACGUAUACUCGUUGCUUGGUGGUUGUUUGCUUGGCGACGUCUUGGAUUUAUAAAGGUUAGAAGAAAUAUUUCUUGUAAAUUAAAAUGAAAUAAUAAAUAGUUGUAAUAAUAUAUAGUUUUGUUUAGUACAUGAAAAGGUUAAAGAGAAGUGAACACACCUUUAACCCCAUACAAAAGGUUAAAGGUUAUUUAAAGUUUAAAGAAAAUGUUGAAAUGUUUGUUUUAACGAAAUCAAAGCAAAUUUUUUAUAACAUUUUUAAAAGGAAAUAUGUCUCUUUUCUAAAGGAAACUUGUUUGAAUUGCCAGCAACUGUUUCAAAGAAAAUUUCCAACAACUAGCAGCAACUUUUUAAAGAUAACUUGUUCAAGCAUGACAAAUUUUCUAAAGGAAACUACCAUCAAUUGUCAAAAUCUUUUCUAAAGAAAACUUCCACUAAAUGGCGGCAACUUUUCUAAACUACUAUUGUUGGCAGCAACUUUAUUAAAGUUGAAAUGGCAGCAACUUAUCUUAAGAAAACUUCCAUUGCAAGCAAUUUCUUUAAAGAAAACUCGUACCAAUUGUCAGCAAUUUUUGUAAAGAAAAUAUGCUCCAAUUGGCAGCAAUUUAUAUAAUUAAAAUUGCCAUAAAUAGGAAGCAACUUUUCUAAAGAAAAAAUUCCACCAAGAAGCAGCAUCUUUUCUAAAGAUAAUUGUUACCGAUUAGCAGCAAUUACCUAAAGGAAAUUGCUACAUUUGUAAAGACAAUUGCUACCAAUUGGCAGCAACUUUUCUAAAGAUAACUUGUCUUCAAUUGAAAGCAACUUUUCUAUAUAAACCUUUCCUCUAAUUGACAGCAACUUUCGUUAAAGAAAACUUCAAACAAUUGCAGCAAAUUUUCUAAAUAGAACUUGUAUUCGAUUGAAAGCAACUUUUCUAAAGAAAACUUGCCUCCAAUGGUCGAAUCUUGCUUCAAAUUGGCAGCAACUUCUCUAAAAAAAACAUUCUUCAAUUGACAGCAACUUUCUAAAGAAAAUGUCCAACAAUUGCCAGCAAUUUUUCUUAUCAAACUUGUCUUCGAUUGGCCGCGCAAACUUUCGAAAGAAAACUUCUAACAAUUGGCAGCAACUUUUUCAAAGGAAACUUCCACGAAAUGCCAGCGACUUUUCAAUUCUUCUUACAACAGUUGGUAGCAAAAUAAGGUUAAAUCCAUUAAAAUUACAUUUGAUUUCUUUAAAUACAAAAACAAUUUCUUAGAAAUAAUGAUUCAAAUCCAAAGAUAUCGCUAAAGAUUGAGAAAUUAUCAAUUUAUUGCUUUAAACAAAUAUUGGAUAAUUUCCACUAAUAGGUUGAUCUACAAAACGAUCACAAACUUUUCUAUAAAACGAUCACAAACUUUUCUACAAAACGAUCACAAACUUUUUCAUAAAACUAUCACUCACUUUCUAUAGGAGAAAUUUAAUCAGCAAAACGAACACAAACUUUUCUAUAUAGAAAAGUUUAUCUACAAAACGAUACGAAGCCAUGUUAAUCUACAAAAUGAUCACUAACAUUUCUAUACAGAAAGUGGUAGAUCAACAAAACGAUCAACUAUUCUGCUCUAAGCCAAGUUGAUCUACAAUAUGAUCACUAACUCUUCUAUGCGAUCACUAACCUUUCCAUACAGAAUGUCGUAGAUCAACAAAAAGAUCAACCAUUCUUCUCUAAGCCAAGUUGAUCUACAAAAUGAUCACAAACUUCUUUCCUGUGCGAAAAAGUAGAUAUACAGAAUGAUCACCAACUUUUCUAUACAGACAAAUUGAUCUACAAAAUGAUCACAAAACUUUCUAUAAAGAAAAGUUAAUCUACAAAAUGAUCACACAUCUACAAAACGAUCAUUAACUUUUCUAUAAGAAAAAUUGAUCUACAAAACGAUCACAAACGUUUCCAUGCGAAAAGGUAGUUCAGUUAAACGAUCAGAAACUUUUCUAUAUGGAAAAGUUGAUCUACAAAACGUGGACAAAGUUUUCUAUACGAAAAAAUAGAUCCACAAAACGAUCAACUAUUCUAUUUGAAGACAAGCUGAACUACAAAACGAUCACAAACUUUUCUAUACGAAAUCAAGUUAAUCUACUUAAUGAUCACAAACUUUUCUAUAAGAGAAAUUGAUCUACAAAACGAUCACAAACGUUUCCUUGCGAAAAAGUAGAUCUACUAAACGAUCACAAAUGAGUAUAAAAUCUUAUAGCCAAAUGACGUUUGGUAUUUCUUAGGAAACAUUUAAAACAAUACGAAUAUCGGGAAUUUUCUUUAAAAAUAAGAAGUCUAUAUAAUGGUUCUGUUGGAAAAAUCGCCAGCAGUUGUUAACAUAGAUUAAUAAGCAAUACUUCGAAAGAAUAUUUAAAAGAAAAAAUUGAAAAUUUCGAGGAAACUAAGAACAUUUUCUGAUUACAAAAUGGUUUAUCCAAAGGAAGUGAAACGUUGGCCAUCAAAAGAUAACUACCAGGAGGAAUUUAUAAUGUGGAUUAAACUUAAAUUUAGAAUUUGAAGAAAAAUCAACUAAGAUUUACCAAAAAAAAGUGUUAGAACUACUCGAAAGGCCUCGUGAAAUAUAAUCAACAUAUUCCCCUCAUGAAGAUUUCAGUAGUUUUAAAGAAUGUUUUAAUUUAUUAAAAUUUUUAUCAAAAAUAUUUUUUUAAUCUAAAUAUCCAACUUUGUUGCACAAACAUUAACAUUAAACUAGACUCAAGUUGCUAAAAAUUAAAUCAAAAUGUUUAU
Molecule: long non-coding RNA, 5067 nt
Organism: Lucilia sericata (common green bottle fly)
Lineage: Eukaryota; Metazoa; Arthropoda; Insecta; Diptera; Calliphoridae
Exons: 3
Source: RefSeq, a predicted model, not a curated record